CUGGUAGCAGUGGAGGAAAAUCACCUGAAAAAGAGUCAUCACCAUAGAUUUCCCAGAGGAAGAUAUUUAAGUAUCAGAUCAAUCGUUGCCCUGGCAACCAUUCAGCGCUAACCAGAGAUUCUCAACCCUGGAUACCCAUGAGAAUCAACUGGACAGCCUUUGAAACCACAGCCAAAUUAAAUCAGAACCUCUGGAAGUGGGACCUAGGCAUCAGCAUUUUAUAAACGUUCCUCUAUGUGCAGCCAACCAGCACUCAGAGAUUCGGCCUGGACCACAAGAGGAAUUCAACUUUGGAUCAUCAGGCAAGAGACUUUGGUCAGGAGCCCUGAUGUGAUGUCUUGGUGAAUGUGAAGGGGGUGAACAGAAAUUGUCCUUGGAGCAUAGAACAGAAGCUUCCCUGCUGAGGCCGGAGGCUCAGCCUGGUGCAUUUCCUGCAGAGCAAUCACUGUGGUAACAAUGGGGUUAUGGAAGGGACUAUAGUUCCACGAGCUCCUAUAGAAGAGCAUCUGGCAGUCAAAGGACACUUUGUGACUGAUAAAACUCUUUGAUAUGGACUGACACCCAUCUCCCCUCCAACACCAGUUUAUGUAUUGAAGCUCUAACCUCCAUUGAGACUGCCUGGGAGAUGCUAUGAAUUGGAACCUGUACCUCCAAAUGACCUUGAGAAGAGAUGUAAUCACAGGAAACAAAGGGCAGCACAGUAGUCAUGGAAACAACAGGUAAUAACAGCCUAUUCCCAAGGACCUUACACCUC
Molecule: non-coding RNA, 754 nt
Organism: Peromyscus maniculatus bairdii (prairie deer mouse)
Lineage: Eukaryota; Metazoa; Chordata; Mammalia; Rodentia; Cricetidae
Source: RefSeq, a predicted model, not a curated record